CAGCCUCACACCGUCUGUCGCACUUCAUACUUCUCGAAUACAUCAAACCCUCAACGACAAACGACAGAAAUACUACUGAAUACUAUUAAAGGAUGGUUGAUGUUAUGGAAGUGUGAGACGAGAUAGGAGAAGAUAUUCGAGGACUAAAAUAAUCUCCUUUGACCUCUGCAAGCCUGAAGUACUCUAGCGUGCCCUGCCCUCGCCGUCUGCGUGCGCGUCCCUACCGUUCAUUGGCGGAGACAUGACUGGCGGGGCUGUGAUUGGUCUGAGUGUAGCGUGAGAGGCGUAACAGGUAAUCACAGGUGAGGAGGAAUGGUCACCUUUCACACCCCACGCUUCCCCCACAGGUGAGUCAAUGAACCCUGGUAGCCUCACUCAUGUGUGGACCUCAUGAGUGGAUAUUUUUUUUUAUUUUGUGGGAAUUAUUAUUAUUAUUAUUAUUAUUAUUAUUAUUAUU
Molecule: long non-coding RNA, 457 nt
Organism: Scylla paramamosain (green mud crab)
Lineage: Eukaryota; Metazoa; Arthropoda; Malacostraca; Decapoda; Portunidae
Exons: 3
Source: RefSeq, a predicted model, not a curated record